RNAcentral lists this ribosomal RNA (389 nucleotides) under Syndiniales sp. RNAcentral describes it as "partial small subunit ribosomal RNA". It matches the Rfam family "Eukaryotic small subunit ribosomal RNA", at positions 582 to 975 of the family's 1831-position model. The record is from RNAcentral. Lineage: Eukaryota; Dinophyceae; Syndiniales.
AUUCCAGCUCCAAUAGCGUAUAUUAAAGUUGUUGCGGUAAAAAAGCUCGUAGUUGGAUUUCUGUCGAGAACAGCCGGUCACGAUUUUGUCGUUGUAUCUGGUUUGGUCUUGGCAUCCUCUUGGGGAACAUUUCUGCGCUUCACUGCGUGGAGUGGUAUUCAAGACUUUUACUUUGAGGAAAUUAGAGUGUUCACGGCAGGCAAUCGCCCUGAAUAUAUUAGCAUGGAAUAAUGAUAUAGGACCUUGGUUCUAUUUUGUUGGUUUCUAGAACUAAGGUAAUGAUUAAUAGGGACAAUUGGGGGCAUUCGUAUUAACGCGUCAGAGGUGGAAUUCUUAGAUUGCGUUACGACGAACUACUGCGAAAGCAUUUGCCAAGGAUGUUUUCAUUG